CUGGGACUGAGACGCGGCCCAGACUCCUACGGGAGGCAGCAGUGGGGAAUUUUGGACAAUGGGCGCAAGCCUGAUCCAGCAAUGCCGCGUGAGUGAAGAAGGCCUUCGGGUUGUAAAGCUCUUUUGUCAGGGAAGAAACGGUGGAGGUUAAUACCUUCUGCUAAUGACGGUACCUGAAGAAUAAGCACCGGCUAACUACGUGCCAGCAGCCGCGGUAAUACGUAGGGUGCAAGCGUUAAUCGGAAUUACUGGGCGUAAAGCGUGCGCAGGCGGUUGUGCAAGACAGAUGUGAAAUCCCCGGGCUCAACCUGGGAAUUGCAUUUGUGACUGUACGGCUAGAGUGUGUCAGAGGGGGGUAGAAUUCCACGUGUAGCAGUGAAAUGCGUAGAGAUGUGGAGGAAUACCGAUGGCGAAGGCAGCCCCCUGGGAUAACACUGACGCUCAUGCACGAAAGCGUGGGGAGCAAACAGGAUUAGAUACCCUGGUAGUCCACGCCCUAAACGAUGUCUACUAGUUGUCGGGUCUUUAUUGACUUGGUAACGCAGCUAACGCGUGAAGUAGACCGCCUGGGGAGUACGGUCGCAAGAUUAAAACUCAAAG
RNAcentral lists this ribosomal RNA (600 nucleotides) under bacterium enrichment culture clone F61x_D54_T3_F07. Its description in RNAcentral is "bacterial SSU rRNA". It matches the Rfam family "Bacterial small subunit ribosomal RNA", at positions 313 to 906 of the family's 1533-position model. The record is from RNAcentral.